CCUACGGGUGGCAGCAGUGAGGAAUAUUGGUCAAUGGGCGCAAGCCUGAACCAGCCAAGUAGCGUGAAGGAUGACGGCCCUACGGGUUGUAAACUGCUUUUAUACGGGAAUAACGCGCCGUAUGUGUAGGGCUUUGCAUGUACCGUAUGAAUAAGGAACGGCUAACUCCGUGCCAGCAGCCGCGGUAAUACGGAGGGUCCGGGCGUUAUCCGGAUUUAUUGGGUUGAAAGGGAGCGUAGGAGGGAUGUCAAGCGAGAUGUGAAAUGUCCGGGCUCAACCCGGGCCUUGCAGCGGAAACUGGCGUGCUUGAGUCCGCGAGAGGCAGGCGGAAUUCGUGGUGUAGCGGUGAAAUGCUUAGAUAUGACGAAGAACCCCGAUUGCGAAGGCAGCUUGCUGCAGCGGAACUGACGCUGAUGCUCGAAAGUGCGGGUAUCAAACAGGAUUAGAUACCCGAGUAGUC
Molecule: ribosomal RNA, 460 nt
Filed under: uncultured bacterium
Lineage: Bacteria
Description: partial 16S ribosomal RNA
Rfam family: Bacterial small subunit ribosomal RNA
Source: RNAcentral